CAAUAGCGUAUAUUAAAGUUGUUGCGGUUAAAAGCUCGUAGUUGGAUUUCUGCAGGGUAGGCACGGUCGCCAUCUUAUGGCUGAUUGUUGCAAACCCCGCAUCUUCUCGAUUGAUGAAUUUGUGCUUGAUUGCAUGGUUUAUUGUUCGAGACUUUUACUUUGAGGAAAUUAGAGUGUUCAUAGCAAGCUAACGCUUUGAAUAUAUUAGCAUGGGAUAAUAAUAUAAGACUGAGUUUUUAUUUUGUUGGUUUCUAGGAAUUCAGUAAUGAUAAAUAGGGGUUGUCGGGGGUACUAGUAUUAACGCGUCAGAGGUGGAAUUCUUGGAUUGCGUUACGACUAACUACUGCGAAAGCAUUUACCAAGGAUGUUUUCAUUGAUCAAGAACGAAAGUUUGGGGAUCGAAGACGAUUAGAUACCGU
RNAcentral lists this ribosomal RNA (419 nucleotides) under uncultured eukaryote. Its description in RNAcentral is "SSU rRNA". It matches the Rfam family "Eukaryotic small subunit ribosomal RNA", at positions 592 to 1018 of the family's 1831-position model. The record is from RNAcentral.